GCUCUUCUUCUUGUGAAAAUAUACAUUUUGGAUCAGACUUGUGGCCUCUCCUGACAUUUCAUCCCUCACAGUGACAAACACCUAGGAAGGAGAAUAAAAGAAAAAAUCUUUGGUAACGGUUUCCCCAGAAGACACCUGCAGUCUCUGGCAAUUUUGCUCCUUGAAGUGGAUUCUGAGCCAGGUGGAUCUUGCAUGCAGCUGCCCUUGAGGGCAGCAUAGAGGUUGAGUACAAUACACAUUGGUGUUUACUGAUCAUCUUCUGACCGUUGGAGCUACUGCUGUGAUAUGGAGUCCUCUGUCACAGUUUGAACAGCACACUGUGACAUCAGAUCAGAUCUGGAACAUGCUUUCUGACAAUCCUGUAAGUGAAGAUAAUUCACAAAAUCCUUGAAACUGGUUACAUGAAUUUAAGGCUUUGUCGGAUGUUAAAGAAAUGAAAAGCAAACCAUGUGACUCACAACAGUAUCUAAACAGAGGACAGGCCAUGAAAUAAAUCAUCUGCAUCCAGAAGAUACAAGAUUUCCAUUUUUCCCUCUGAAAAUCUCACGUAUCUUCAGAGAUGUGUUUUGUCCCCCAGGCUGUGGGGAGUUGAUGCCAGAUGCAACUGAAUGUUCAUAUCUGGCAGACAAAAGGUGGGUCUGAACUACGUCCUUUGUAAGCAGCCUCAUGAAGAUAACAAAUCUUUGUAUCUUAAGCUUUGUUUGUGUCUCUGUCCCUGCUGAAAAUUCUGAAGAUAGGGUUGUUCCUGCCUGAGUGGGACUUUACAGUACUUGAUAACAACAAAGUGUGUUAAUAUUUGGAAAGCUGGAAAUGUAAAGUAUUGGAGAUUUUUUUCUAUGUAUAGCCAAGCAGUCAUAUGCAGGUUAUUCCCCUGAAGAGUGUUCAUUUUUACUGUUGUUUUUUUUUUUUUUCUAUCUGUGGUUUCCUAAAUCUGCUCAGAUCUCCCUUUGAACUACAGACAUGCAUUAACCUGGCUGCAGAUAGAUGCAGUUAGGUGAGAAAUAGGCUGUGCUUAGUCAAGUUUGCUUAAUUUGUGAAGUUCUUUAUUUGUUGUGUAGUCUUCUGGUACAGGCUAUGUCACAAUAGCAAGAGCGGAUGAUUCAUGGUUAAUAAUCAAAUCUCACAUGUAAUUCCCUGGGAAUUAGGGAUAUCUAAAAGAUGUUUGGUUCAGAUUUUAUGUUUGUAAUUAUGGAAAAAUACCUAUCACAUCCACAGAAUAACAAUUUCCAGAUUAUCUAGGUGCUGUUUUAAAAUAAUGCUUAGAAUACAAAGAAAUACUUGUGCCAGUUUAAUGGUAUUUAAAAUUAGCCAAUGCAUUAGAGACUGUUUAAGUAGGUAGGUGCAACUUAAUGUCAAACUUUUGACUAGAGCAUUUAAAUUUGAAGCGAUAAAUACAUCACUAAUUAGCAUUAAUGUAACAUGAUUACAAAAUAAACAUUUGAUUAGUACAUUUAAAUUUCAGCAUAAUAAACUGCUGAACUAAUUAGUAAAUAAAGUGCUGAUAAUGCC
Molecule: long non-coding RNA, 1509 nt
Organism: Cygnus olor (mute swan)
Lineage: Eukaryota; Metazoa; Chordata; Aves; Anseriformes; Anatidae
Exons: 3
Source: RefSeq, a predicted model, not a curated record